This 443-nucleotide ribosomal RNA is filed under the name uncultured bacterium. RNAcentral describes it as "partial 16S ribosomal RNA". It matches the Rfam family "Bacterial small subunit ribosomal RNA", at positions 338 to 795 of the family's 1533-position model. The record is from RNAcentral.
CCUACGGGAGGCUGCAGUGGGGAAUAUUGGGCAAUGGGCGCAAGCCUGACCCAGCAACGCCGCGUGAAGGAAGAAGGCUUUCGGGUUGUAAACUUCUUUUCUCAGGGACGAAGCAAGUGACGGUACCUGAGGAAUAAGCCACGGCUAAAUACGUGCCAGCAGCCGCGGUAAUACGUAGGUGGCAAGCGUUAUCAGGAUUUACUGGGUGUAAGGGGCGUGUAGGCGGGAAGGCAAGUCAGAUGUGAAAGCCAUGGGCUCAACCUGUGGACUGCAUUUGAAACUGUUUUUCUUGAGUACUGGAGAGGCAGACGGAAUUCCUAGUGUAGCGGUGAAAUGCGUAGAUAUUAGGAGGAACACCAGUGGCGAAGGCGGUCUGCUGGACAGCGACUGACGCUGAGGCGCGAAAGCGUGGGGAGCAAACAGGAUUAGAUACCCUGGUAGUC